RNAcentral lists this ribosomal RNA (978 nucleotides) under uncultured Neocallimastigales. RNAcentral's name for it is "partial large subunit ribosomal RNA". It matches the Rfam family "Eukaryotic large subunit ribosomal RNA", at positions 26 to 637 of the family's 3401-position model. The record is from RNAcentral. Lineage: Eukaryota; Fungi; Neocallimastigomycota; Neocallimastigomycetes; Neocallimastigales.
CGCAUCUGUGCAUGCAGCAUAUCAAUAAGCGGAGGAAAAGAAACUAACAAGGGAUUCCCUUAGUAACGGCGAGUGAAGCGGGAAGAGCUCAAAUUUGAAAUCUUCAAGGUUUUACCUUGACGAAUUGUAGUUUAAAGAAGUGUUUUCUGUUGAAGUUUUGGUAAAAGUUCUUUGGAAUAGGACAUCAUAGAGGGUGAGAAUCCCGUAUUUGACCAUUAUUUUCAGCUGUGUGAUACACUUUCAAAGAGUCGGAUUAUUUGGGAAUGCAGUCCAAAAUGGGUGGUAAAUUUCAUCUAAAGCUAAAUAUUGGCGAGAGACCGAUAGCGAACAAGUACCGUGAGGGAAAGAUGAAAAGAACUUUGAAAAGAGAGUUAAACAGUACGUGAAAUUGUCAAAAGGGAAGCGUUUGACACCAGUGUUGUUUUCUCGAAAAUCAAUUAAAAAGAGUUUGAUUUUGUUGUGUAUUGACCUUAACAGCUUGCAUUUCAAUUUUCUUGCUUUUUUUAAUGCACUUUUCGUUUAACAAGUCAACAUCAGUUUCUUUUGUUGUAAAAAGGUCAUUGGAAGGCUGGCUUUCUUUUCGGAGAAAGUGUUUAUAGCCUUUGACUCCUGCAAUCGGAGAGACUGAGGUCUGCAGCGUAGAUCCUUCGGGGUUAGAUACAUUUGUGCUAAGUUAUAGCUUUUUAUAGACAACUUGUUGACUAUGAUUAGUCUUGUAGCUUACUCGCUUAUGCUAUUUUACCUACGCUUAGGAUGUUGACACACGCGCGUGCUCGACUCUACACAUGACUCUGCAGCAUAUCAAUAAGCGGAGGAAAAGACUGCGGAACUGAACGACCGCUACCUACGCUUAGGAUGUUGACACACGCGCGUGCUCGAUCUAUACAUGACUCUGCGCAUAUCAAUAAGCGGAGGAAAAGGCUGCAGAACUGAACGACCGCUACCUACGCUUAGGAUGUUGACACACGCGCGUGCUCG